UUCUAAUCUUUCAUUAUCAGCAACAAGGUUAUUAAUUCUAUAUUCAAAAUCUCUUCUUUCAUAGUUUAGUCGAUUAACCUUGUAUUGCAGUCGCAUUGCUUCAGCAUGCAAUUCUCUGAAUGUUUCAAUUAAUUGCUGAUAUCUUUCUUCUAUAGGUAGCUUCUCAAAUUCUUCAUCACUGUUACUAUUAUUUCUUGAUGUUCCAGCCAUGUGACAAAUGUUGGAUUCCUCAUCUUCAUCAGCAUCUUCAUCACUUGAGCUUUCUGAAUCUAUGUUCUCCCAAGCAAUGUAUAUGUUAAGCCACUGGCAAGUGUACCAGAUUGUUAUCAAGUAAUAUCGUUCUUCUUAUUUACUUCAGUUAUUUAUGUAAUUGCCAUGCGUACUUUCUUAUUUACCCUUAACCCAAUACCUUCGUGAAAAAAGCCUAUUAUUAAUUACCGACUUGCUAUGCCUAGCCUCCCAUAGUAACCAAUAAUGCAAUGCGUUCGGAAGCAAAUACAAUUGACCGUCCUACCCCU
RNAcentral lists this long non-coding RNA (518 nucleotides) under Vigna radiata. RNAcentral describes it as "long non-coding RNA (VRAD_LNC001750)". The record is from RNAcentral. Lineage: Eukaryota; Viridiplantae; Streptophyta; Magnoliopsida; Fabales; Fabaceae.